CAUCUUGAUUGAGCCUGUCUUCUCCAUCUUCAAUCUUGCUCACCACCGCCACAACCUACACCUUAGUACCACUUCGCUCUUGUGAUAUCACAUGCUCUGAUACCACUUAUUGGGGAUGUCUGGCCAGGACACCACCACCAUCAUAGGAUCUUUUCAAUAUCAUGCGUUGCAGCAGGAAGAAAGAAGAAACAAAAUAGAGACACAAUCAAAUACGUUGAUCAGCCUAAAGGCUUGCCUCCAUAGGGCAUGAAAGC
RNAcentral lists this long non-coding RNA (254 nucleotides) under Elaeis guineensis (African oil palm). RNAcentral's name for it is "long non-coding RNA (EGUI_LNC077558)". Lineage: Eukaryota; Viridiplantae; Streptophyta; Magnoliopsida; Arecales; Arecaceae. The record is from RNAcentral.